GAGUUUGAUCAUGGCUCAGAAUGAACGCUGGCGGCGUGCUUAACACAUGCAAGUCGUACGAGAACUCCUUAGCUUGCUAAGGAUAGUAAAGUGGCGCACGGGUGAGUAACGCGUGGGUAAUCUACCCUGGAAAUCGGGAUAACAUUGCGAAAGUGAUGCUAAUACCGAAUGAUAUCUAAUUUGCUUUGGCUUUUUAGAUCAAAGGUGGCCUCUAUUUAUAAGCUACUGUUUUGGGAUAAGCUCGCGUACCAUUAGCUUGUUGGUAGGGUAAUGGCCUACCAAGGCUACGAUGGUUAGCUGGUCUGAGAGGAUGAUCAGCCACACUGGAACUGACACACGGUCCAGACUCCUACGGGAGGCAGCAGUGAGGAAUUUUGCGCAAUGGGGGAAACCCUGACGCAGCAACGCCGCGUGAGUGAUGAAGGCUUUCGGGUCGUAAAGCUCUGUCAAGUGGGAAGAAAAAGAAGAGUUGUAAUAUAACUUUUCUCUGACGGUACCACUAAAGGAAGCACCGGCUAACUCCGUGCCAGCAGCCGUGGUAAUACG
This 546-nucleotide ribosomal RNA is filed under the name uncultured delta proteobacterium. Its description in RNAcentral is "bacterial SSU rRNA". It matches the Rfam family "Bacterial small subunit ribosomal RNA", at positions 9 to 527 of the family's 1533-position model. The record is from RNAcentral. Lineage: Bacteria; Deltaproteobacteria.